UACGUAGGGUGCGAGCGUUGUCCGGAGUUAUUGGGCGUAAAGGGCUCGUAGGCGGUUUGUCGCGUCGGGAGUGAAAUCCACUGGCUUAACUGGUGGCUUGCUUUCGAUACGGGCAGACUGGAGGUAUGCAGGGGAGAACGGAAUUCCUGGUGUAGCGGUGAAAUGCGCAGAUAUCAGGAGGAACACCGGUGGCGAAGGCGGUUCUCUGGGCAUGUCCUGACGCUGAGGAGCGAAAGUGUGGGGAGCGAACAGG
RNAcentral lists this ribosomal RNA (253 nucleotides) under uncultured bacterium. Its description in RNAcentral is "partial 16S ribosomal RNA". It matches the Rfam family "Bacterial small subunit ribosomal RNA", at positions 524 to 776 of the family's 1533-position model. The record is from RNAcentral.